RNA transcript from Elaeis guineensis (African oil palm), 2858 nucleotides. It is a transcript of the gene named beta-galactosidase 8, with no coding region annotated. The record is from RefSeq and is a predicted model, not a curated record. NCBI's taxonomy places the organism in Eukaryota, Viridiplantae, Streptophyta, Magnoliopsida, Arecales, Arecaceae.
GCUUCUCGCCGAAUCCUGGCCACCGGGACAUGGUGAGGGGGCGAGGCGGCGGUGGUGGGCGGACGAUCCGGAAGCGCUGGAUGGCGUCCAAAAAGGGCCUCAAGCUCCUCCUCGCCCUCCUCACCACCGUCACUCUCACCUCCUUCGCCCCUGCUCUCGCCCCUUUUCCUGUCCUCUCCUCCUCCCGCCACUAUCUCUCCUCGGGCAAUGAUCGAGGGUUCUGGAUAGCUGAUGACAUGUUUUGGAAAGAUGGUCAACCUUUUCAGAUCAUCGGUGGCGAUGUGCACUAUUUUCGGGUUCUUCCUGAGUACUGGGAAGAUAGACUUUUAAGAGCCAAGGCACUGGGCUUGAACACCAUCCAAACCUAUGUUCCUUGGAAUUUACAUGAACCAGCACCCCAGAAAUGGGUUUUUGAGGGUAUUGCAGAUAUCGAAUCAUUUUUGAAGCUUGCACAGGAAUUAGGUUUUCUUGUUAUGCUACGUGCAGGACCCUACAUCUGUGCAGAGUGGGACUUUGGAGGUUUUCCUGCCUGGUUACUAGCUAUAGAACCAGCUCUCAAACUGAGAUCAUCAGAUCCUGAAUUCCUUCAAUUGGUUGAAAGAUGGUGGGCAGUUUUGCUUCCAAAAAUGGCUCCUCUACUGUAUGAAAAUGGGGGCCCUAUUAUUAUGGUUCAGGUAGAAAAUGAGUUUGGAUCAUAUGGAGAUGACAAGAAAUAUCUUCAUCACCUUGUGACUUUGGCUAGAAGGCACCUUGGAAAUGAUAUUGUUCUUCAUGGGAGGGAGCUCAGAGAGGAAGAGAUAGAGAAGAAGGGAAGGAGAGGAAGAAGGGAGAGAAGGUAUACUACAGAUGGUGGUUCUAAAGAUACACUAGAAAAUGGAACUAUUCUUGGGGAGGGUGUUUUCUCAGCUGUUGAUUUUUCAACUGGUGACAAUCCAUGGCCAAUAUUUAAGUUGCAGAAGAAGUAUAAUGCACCAGGAAAAUCACCUGCUCUAUCAUCGGAAUUUUAUACAGGAUGGCUUACACACUGGGGAGAGCAGAUUGCAGAAACUGAUGCCAACUUGACAGCUGCAGCCCUACAAAAGAUUUUAUCUCGAAAUGGUUCUGCAGUACUCUAUAUGGCUCAUGGUGGAACCAAUUUUGAGUUUUUCAGUGGUGCAAAUACUGGUCAGAAUGAAUCUGAUUACAAGGCUGACCUCACUUCUUAUGAUUAUGAUGCUCCAAUCAAGGAGUCUGGUGAUGUGGACAACCCAAAGUUCAAAGCAUUGAGAAGAGUCAUUGAGACAUAUAGAAGCGUAGCUCUACCCCCAGUUCCUUCCAAUAAUAAGAGGGCAAGUUAUGGGCUUGUUGAGGUUAGCAAAAUUGCUUCCUUUUUUGAGGUCCUUGAUACCAUAUGUUCUCCAAUGGAGGUGGUUGAAGCAGAACAUCCCAUUGCAAUGGAGUUGGUGGGCCAGAUGUUUGGAUUUGUAUUAUAUGUGACAGAAUACCCCCAAAAGGAAACAAGUAGCAUUCUUUCAAUUCCCAAGGUGCAUGACAGAGCUCAAGUGUUUAUUUCAUGCUCAGUUGAUGAUAAUGGAAGUCCAAUAUACGUUGGUGUAAUUGAAAGAUGGUCAAACAAGGCACUUGCAAUGCCCAAAAUCAAUUGCUCUUCUAACAUCGGCUUAUUUGUUCUGGUGGAAAAUUUGGGCCGUGUGAAUUAUGGGCCAUACAUGUAUGACAGGAAGGGAAUACUGUCUCCGGUUAUACUGGACGAUGUUGUCCUCCAUCAGUGGAAAACAUAUCCAAUUUCGUUUCAGAGAUUUAUAAAUCAUUCAAAAGAUAACCCUAUCAAGCAAGCUGCCAAUUCUAGAAUUAAUAAGAUAUUGAUCCAGAACAGUCUGAAAGAUCACUCCAGCAGGUUUACAUUUUCACUUAAAGAGAGUAUUUCAGAAGAACCAGGAUUUUACAAAGGUCAUUUCUAUGUAGAUCCAAGAAACCAAGUUAGAGAUACGUUCAUAUCAUUUUCUGGUUGGAGCAAAGGGAUUGCUUUUGUGAACAAUUUCAAUAUUGGGAGAUUCUGGCCGUUGUUUGGACCUCAGUGCACUCUUUAUGUUCCUGCACCAAUCCUUCAACACGGAGAAAAUGUUGUGGUCAUACUAGAGUUGCAUGCUCCCAAUCCUGAUCUCACUAUUGAGUUGGUGGAAAACCCAGAUUUUACAUGUGGACCAAAACAUCAUCAGAAAUGAUCACAUGCAUUUUCAUCCAGAGGGUAUAGUGCAAUGCUGAAAGUGAAUGAUUAUUGCUGCUCAAAAAAGCAAGUGAAUGAUUUAUUGAUGGAGAUCAACACGCCAUAAGACGUGAAGCAGUUGCAAUGCUGCCAGUGAAAGCUAUGACCACCCCGGCUGUGUCCCUGCCAUCCAAUCAAUUCAAAUGUUCAUGUAUGUUACAAGGUGAAGAUGCAGAAAAUGAUUUGCAGACUAUGCUGCUGUACAUGGUGCAACAGGUGGGUUGCUGAAACUCUUUCAUAGCGUGCCAUGAGUUUUUUGCUGCUGGGAAUGGUAGCAAUAUGCACUCUACGGCAGAUAUAACACAUCACACAAUGUAUGCUUCCAUCAAUCAACUGUUGUCUAAAGUAUUCAAACAUGCAUCAACCUCAAGAGUAAUCUAGGAUAUGUAAUUAUCGGGAUAUGGUAAAUUUUGAGGAACUAUAUUAUGUCUUCAAACAGCCCAUAAACAUAAUCCCGAUUGGAACUUUUUAAAUGGUCUGACAGUCACGAAUCCAGCACCAGAAAGAUGUGAGCAGGAUUUAUUACUAGGUCUUGUAAUAAGCAUAGGCAGCUACACUUGGUCAUUCUAUUGAUUUUCACUCUGCUUGCACAAAA